This 26-nucleotide transfer RNA is filed under the name Anolis cybotes (large-headed anole). Its description in RNAcentral is "partial tRNA-Asx". RNAcentral also lists the same sequence under 1 other name. Lineage: Eukaryota; Metazoa; Chordata; Lepidosauria; Squamata; Anolidae. The record is from RNAcentral.
CUGAAUAGACGGGCCUCGAUCCCGCG